This 2255-nucleotide long non-coding RNA is filed under the name Capsicum annuum. Its description in RNAcentral is "long non-coding RNA (CANN_LNC007436)". The record is from RNAcentral. Lineage: Eukaryota; Viridiplantae; Streptophyta; Magnoliopsida; Solanales; Solanaceae.
CUCUACAAAUCACAUUAACAAGCACCAAGUUCUUACGCAAACACAAGAGGGACUCGCUUCACUCAAGCACUCACGUUUCUAGCCGUUUCACAACACAAGUGGAACCUUUCACUUGUGAUGUUCAAAGUUGGUGGUCUACUCUCUUAUUGAGAGGAAAAUGGUGUUUCUACGUAUAGUCUAUUACAAAAGAAAUGGGAAAUGACACCUUUACCCUAAAUGAAGGGGUUGGGUUUGGAGUGUAUAAAUGGGGCUUCCUUGUAGUGUUUUUAUGACACUCAAGGCAUGUCUUCACACUUUAAUACAUACACUCCCUUGGAAAAACUUAAGACAUGCUCAAACACAUCCAUCUUUAUGAAUGUGCCUUGAAGAAAUUUUAGUUCCCGAGCUUGGCUCCUAGGGAAUGGUCUUGAGCUCUCGAUACCCGUUUGCCACCCUUUUGCAAAGGUUUUCACACUCUUCCCUCUUCUUGGAUAUGGUUCGAGUAUGGCUUCUUGUGCUUGUACCCUCUUUGCACUCGUAUCACUUGUAAUCCUUGUUCUCUUUACGCUUGUAUCAUCCUCUCCAUCUUGAAAGGAAUUUGUCCUAAAAUUUACACCUUGCAAAACAAAAGAGAGGGACCUAAGAACACAAUCCUCAUGCUAUGAGGGUUAGCAUUAGUGUCACAAAUUAUUUAAUCAUGCUAAGGGGGUACACUUUUGGAAUACAUCCAACAAUCCUUUGUUAUGAUCAUGAAACACCUACUACAAGCAUCACAAAGGACUUGGCUAAGAUAGACAUCAAGGGAAGAGGAGUGCAACACGAGACCAUCACAUAUAUCAAUAAGCCAAGGUUGUUCACAUUUGAAAUACAUCCACAGGUCGUUUGUGUGUGAAAUGAAAAACAUAGCAUGAAUGGGACAAAGGAUAUGGUUUUGGCAAAUACCAAGAGAUAAGGAAACCACAAUGGUGUUGAUGUCCUUAAUACACCCAAAAAGUAAGACUAACUUUGACUUAGGAACCAUAAGAUACAUUUGUUUCAUUACCUCCACAAAGAACCUCAUCAAAUAUGGCGCCACUAUUGAUCCUAAGGUCCAACUUACCCACAUAUCAUUAUCAUUCAAACAAGGAAACCAGCCACCAAACUUACUACCUCUACACAAUACACAUUCAAAAUUAACAUGGUUAUCAUCAUAGGUAAAGAAGUAGUAUAGGAAGGAAUCAAGUGUGAAGACUUCAUGCCGAGGGAGUACACAUUUAAAAUACAACCUGCAAUCCUUUGUUUUGACAAUGAAACAUUUAGUAUAAGCAUUAAAAUGAUAGGGAUAAGGAAAACAUAAAAGGGGAAAGAGCACAAACUAAGACAAUUCCUUUCCCACCCCACUAAUGCACCAGGAUCAAAUGGAUGAAGUAGCCAAGUGCAUAAGCUGAGGCUACUCAUUCCUUUUACUAGAGAAUCAAGCCCACAAUCACCCAAGGCAUUCCUCAUAACUUUGACAUACACAUGAUCAUUAUGAACAAGAAUAAUAUCAUAGAUUUCGUCACACAAGUUCAAAGGACCAUAUUCAUUAUCUAGAUCAACAUUACGAGCAUCAACACUAACUUGAAAAUUUUUAAUCAUACCAUUUACAUGUUCAAGUAGUGAGCUACUCUUAGGAUCACAUUGAUCAUUAUACACACCUGAAAUACUACCAAGGAAGGAUGCUUGUACUUCUACACUAUCUGUACCCAAAACCACAUCAACUUGGCUACUAAUAUCCAUAUCACAACUUUUUAAACAUAAGGGAGUGUAAAGUGUACCAAUUUUACCUUGGUUUGUACUAGGGCAUCCCACUUGCAUUGAAUUCUCGUCCAAGAACGCAAUUGGAACACCAACAUGUUUGGGAUGGAUUUAUUUUGGAUUUUCCUUUGGGAAUAUCUCAUCUUGUACCUGCACAUAAAAAGAACCAAUGCUAGGAAAAAUGCUAGCACUUGGGUUAGUGAGUAACAAGGGUUCUUUGUGGAUAAAAUCCACAAUCAAGCAUUUUUUCCCCUUUCCACUUUACUACCCAUGGAUUCCCUUUCACUUUCCCUCUUUUAUUUACAUUCUUCUUGUUCCUCACCAUCAAAUUUCUGUCUAUCUUGAGGCUUUGACUCAUUCUCCUUGGAGUCUAACUCUCCCUCUUUUUCUACUUAGACGGGGUAUUUACGGGUUAGUGUAGCUUGGGAAGGAGACAUUGGAUUUAGUAGAGUGUAGGGUCUUUGAACUGGAGGAUUUUGGAGUGGAGGAUUCUGGUUUAG